This 489-nucleotide ribosomal RNA is filed under the name uncultured bacterium. RNAcentral's name for it is "partial 16S ribosomal RNA". It matches the Rfam family "Bacterial small subunit ribosomal RNA", at positions 28 to 507 of the family's 1533-position model. The record is from RNAcentral.
GACGAACGCUGGCGGCGUGCUUAACACAUGCAAGUCGAACGGAAAGGCCCCCAUCUUGGUGGGGGUGCUCGAGUGGCGAACGGGUGAGUAACACGUGGGUGAUCUGCCCUGUACUUCGGGAUAAGCUUGGGAAACUGGGUCUAAUACCGGAUAGGACCAUGGUUUAGUGUCUCAUGGUGGAAAGAUUAUUGUUUUGGUGCAGGAUGAGCUCGCGGCCUAUCAGCUUGUUGGUGGGGUAAUGGCCUACCAAGGCGUCGACGGGUAGCCGGCCUGAGAGGGUGGACGCCCACAUUGGGACUGAGAUACGGCCCAGACUCCUACGGGAGGCAGCAGUGGGGAAUAUUGCACAAUGGGCGCAAGCCUGAUGCAGCGACGCCGCGUGGGGGAUGACGGCCUUCGGGUUGUAAACUCCUUUCGUUAGGGACGAAGCCGCACUUUUUUUGGGUGUGGUGACGGUACCUUUGUUAAGAAGCACCGGCUAACUACGUG